RNAcentral lists this transfer RNA (63 nucleotides) under Krisna nigromarginata. Its description in RNAcentral is "tRNA-Phe". Lineage: Eukaryota; Metazoa; Arthropoda; Insecta; Hemiptera; Cicadellidae. The record is from RNAcentral.
AUUUUAAUAGCUUAAUUUAGAGCAUGAUAUUGAAGAUAUUAAGGUAAUAUUUGUUUUAAAAUA